AACCCAUGGUGUGGGCAUUGGUUUGUGUAGCUCCUGAAUCUCUCAUAUGCUUCACCAAAACUCUCAUUGCUGUGCUGAAGCUAGAUAUUUGAUUCCUUAGUUU
RNAcentral lists this small nucleolar RNA (103 nucleotides) under Eutrema salsugineum. RNAcentral's name for it is "Plant small nucleolar RNA R71". It matches the Rfam family "Plant small nucleolar RNA R71". From Rfam's summary of the family: R71 is a member of the C/D box family of snoRNAs containing the C (UGAUGA) and D (CUGA) box motifs. Multiple nearly identical copies of this snoRNA have been identified in Arabidopsis, and it is thought to function as a 2'-O-ribose methylation guide for 18S ribosomal RNA. Lineage: Eukaryota; Viridiplantae; Streptophyta; Magnoliopsida; Brassicales; Brassicaceae. The record is from Rfam by way of RNAcentral.